Molecule: ribosomal RNA, 389 nt
Filed under: uncultured bacterium
Lineage: Bacteria
Description: bacterial SSU rRNA
Rfam family: Bacterial small subunit ribosomal RNA
Source: RNAcentral
GACGAACGCUGGCGGCGUGCUUAACACAUGCAAGUCGAGCGGUAAGGCCCUUUCGGGGGUACGACGAGCGGCGAACGGGUGAGUAACACGUGGGUGACCUGCCUCUAGCUCUGGGAUAAGCCUGGGAAGCUGGGUCUAAUACCGGAUAUGACCUCGCGGUGCAUGUUGCGGGGUGGAAAGCCUUGUGCGGCUAGGGAUGGGCCCGCGGCCUAUCAGCUUGUUGGUGGGGUGANGGCCUACCAAGGCGACGACGGGUAGCCGGCCUGAGAGGGCGACCGGCCACACUGGGACUGAGACACGGCCCAGACUCCUACGGGAGGCAGCAGUGGGGAAUCUUGCGCAAUGGGCGAAAGCCUGACGCAGCGACGCCGCGUGAGGGAUGACGGCCU